AGUGAACGCUGGCGGCAGGCCUAACACAUGCAAGUCGAACGGCAGCACGAGAGAGCUUGCUCUCUUGGUGGCGAGUGGCGGACGGGUGAGGAAUGCAUCGGAAUCUGCCCAUUUGUGGGGGAUAACCUCGGGAAACCGGGACUAAUACCGCAUACGACCUUCGGGUGAAAGCAGGGGAUCUUCGGACCUUGCGCAGAUGGACGAGCCGAUGCCGGAUUAGCUAGUUGGCGGGGUAAAGGCCCACCAAGGCGACGAUCCGUAGCUGGUCUGAGAGGAUGAUCAGCCACACUGGGACUGAGACACGGCCCAGACUCCUACGGGAGGCAGCAGUGGGGAAUAUUGGACAAUGGGCGAAAGCCUGAUCCAGCCAUGCCGCGUGGGUGAAGAAGGCCUUCGGGUUGUAAAGCCCUUUUGUUGGGAAAGAAAACUUUCCGGUUAAUACCCGGAGAGAAUGACGGUACCCAAAAAAUAAGCACCGGCUAACUUCGUGCCAGCCGCCGCAGUAA
RNAcentral lists this ribosomal RNA (506 nucleotides) under uncultured bacterium. RNAcentral describes it as "partial 16S ribosomal RNA". It matches the Rfam family "Bacterial small subunit ribosomal RNA", at positions 29 to 523 of the family's 1533-position model. The record is from RNAcentral.